GGAAGGGUUGUAUUUAUUAGAUAAAGAACCAAUACUCUUGGUGACUCAUAAUAACUUUACGGAUCACAUUUAUGUGACAUAUCAUUCAAGUUUCUGACCUAUCAGCUUUAGACGGUAGGGUAUUGGCCUACCGUGGCUAUGACGGGUAACGGGGAAUUAGGGUUCGAUUCCGGAGAGGGAGCCUGAGAAACGGCUACCACAUCUAAGGUAGGCAGCAGGCGCGCAAAUUACCCAAUCCUGACACAGGGAGGUAGUGACAAGAAAUAACAAUACAGGGCCUAACGGUCUUGUAAUUGGAAUGAGUUAAGUAUAAACCCCUUUACAAGUAGCAAUUGGAGGGCAAGUCUGGUGCCAGCAGCCGCGGUAAUUCCAGCUCCAAUAGCGUAUAUUAAAGUUGUUGCAGUUAAGAAGCUCGUAGUUGGAUUUCUGUUAAUACUUAUAUACAAUACCACGGUAUUUAUAUAACAUUAACAUAAUUCACAUUACUUGUUUAAAGUAUGUGAAACUUUACUUUGAGAAAAUUAGGGUGCUUAAAGCAGGCUAUUGCCUUGAAUACUCCAGCAUGGAAUCAUAUUAAAGAUUUUUAUCUUUCUUAUUGGUUCUAGGAUAAAAAUAAUGAUUAAUAGGGACAGUUGGGGGCAUUUGUAUUUAACAGUCAGAGGUGAAAUUCUUAGAUUUGUUAAAGACAAACUACUGCGAAAGCAUUUGCCAAGGAUGUUUUCAUUAAUCAAGAACGAAAGUUAGGGGAUCGAAGACGAUCAGAUACCGUCGUAGUCUUAACCAUAAACUAUGCCGACUAGAGAUUGGAGGUUGUUCCUUACUCCUU
Molecule: ribosomal RNA, 826 nt
Filed under: Cryptosporidium baileyi
Lineage: Eukaryota; Apicomplexa; Conoidasida; Eucoccidiorida; Cryptosporidiidae
Description: SSU rRNA
Rfam family: Eukaryotic small subunit ribosomal RNA
Source: RNAcentral